Molecule: long non-coding RNA, 989 nt
Organism: Trichomycterus rosablanca
Lineage: Eukaryota; Metazoa; Chordata; Actinopteri; Siluriformes; Trichomycteridae
Exons: 4
Source: RefSeq, a predicted model, not a curated record
AGGCGGAGGAAAAACGACCGUUACGGACAGUCUUAGUGAGGUUUUGUUUGAAUUAAUUGAAGUUUCUAACAGUUCUCCAGUCCCAUGUGGAAUUUGCACAACAUGUGAAGAAACACAGAAAAGGAACCAAUCUAGUCGCUAAACUUUGCUCUGUGCUACCCGCAGGCUGGGCGCCUAUACAGACGUCAAUUGGCUCGUCCGUCAGGUUGGAUGCCGGAGGAGAUUCCUCAUGACUGCUGCAAUCACGACCUCUGCUGGCUGAUCGAUGGCACUGCACAGAGACGGGGGGCAAUAGGGAUCAGUGUGUGACUCUCUAUACGCGAGACUGAGCCUUAUAUGAACUCGUACAGUGCAGAACAGACGCCCCCUGCUGGUCGUGUUGCCAAAUCCAGUCUUUGCUUUUACGCUGCACAUCAAACAACUUUGAUCGCUUGCUUACUGUUGACGUGCAUUUUUUCGUCACUUCUUGCAUGUGGGGAAGGAAGGAAGGAAGGAAGGAAGAAAGGAAGGAAAAGGGGAAGGAAGGAAGAAAGGAAGGAAAAGGGGAAGGAAGGAAGGAAGGAAGGAAGGAAGAAAGGAAGGAAGGAAGGAAGAAAGGAAGGAAGGAAGGAAGGAAGGAAGGAAGGAAGAAAAAGGGGAAGGAAGGAAGAAAGGAAGGAAGAAAGGAAGGAAGGAAGAAAGGAAGGAAGGAAGGAAGGAAGGAAGGAAGGAAGGAAGAAAAAGGGGAAGGAAGAAGGAGGGAGGAGGAGGAAGGAAAAAGGAAGGAAGAAGGACUAAAAGAUGGAAGGAAGGAAGGGAACAAAGCAUUAAUGUGAGAAAGCUGGUGAGGAUCUGCCAUGAAGAAUGGGAAAAACUGCUCAAAUACAUCAUGUGUGUUGAGAUAUUUCCAAAGAGACUUACAGCUGGAACUGCUGCUGAAGUGGCUUGUAUAAAGUAUUGAUUACGAUCUAAAGCGACAUAGCGUAGCUGAACGGUCAGUGUGUUUUUAU